GUUCCCGUAGUUCAAUGGAUAGAAUAAAAGAUUCCGGUUCUUUCGAUUAGGGUUCGACUCCCUACGGGAAUACCA
Molecule: transfer RNA, 75 nt
Filed under: Bacteroides sp. CAG:927
Lineage: Bacteria; Pseudomonadati; Bacteroidota; Bacteroidia; Bacteroidales; Bacteroidaceae
Also listed under: 2 other names
Description: transfer RNA-Arg(CCG)
Rfam family: tRNA
About the family: Transfer RNA (tRNA) molecules are approximately 80 nucleotides in length. Their secondary structure includes four short double-helical elements and three loops (D, anti-codon, and T loops). Further hydrogen bonds mediate the characteristic L-shaped molecular structure. tRNAs have two regions of fundamental functional importance: the anti-codon, which is responsible for specific mRNA codon recognition, and the 3' end, to which the tRNAs corresponding amino acid is attached (by aminoacyl-tRNA synthetases). tRNAs cope with the degeneracy of the genetic code in two manners: having more than one tRNA (with a specific anti-codon) for a particular amino acid; and 'wobble' base-pairing, i.e. permitting non-standard base-pairing at the 3rd anti-codon position.
Source: RNAcentral